RNAcentral lists this ribosomal RNA (484 nucleotides) under uncultured bacterium. RNAcentral describes it as "partial 16S ribosomal RNA". It matches the Rfam family "Bacterial small subunit ribosomal RNA", at positions 30 to 507 of the family's 1533-position model. The record is from RNAcentral.
AUUGAACGCUGGCGGCAGGCCUAACACAUGCAAGUCGAGCGGAGGAAGGGAGCUUGCUCCUGGAUUCAGCGGCGGACGGGUGAGUAAUGCCUAGGAAUCUGCCUGGUAGUGGGUGAUAACGUCCGGAAACGGGCGCUAAUACCGCAUACGUCCUGAGGGAGAAAGUGGGGGAUCUUCGGACCUCACGCUAUCAGAUGAGCCUAGGUCGGAUUAGCUAGUUGGUGGGGUAAAGGCCUACCAAGGCGACGAUCCGUAACUGGUCUGAGAGGAUGAUCAGUCACACUGGAACUGAGACACGGUCCAGACUCCUACGGGAGGCAGCAGUGGGGAAUAUUGGACAAUGGGCGAAAGCCUGAUCCAGCCAUGCCGCGUGUGUGAAGAAGGUCUUCGGAUUUUAAAGCACUUUAAGUUGGGAGGAAGGGCAGUAAGUUAAUACCUUGCUGUUUUGACGGUACCAACAGAAUAAGCACCGGCUAACUUCGUG